UGAGUAACCUGCCCUUAACUCUGGGAUAAGCCUGGGAAACUGGGUCUAAUACCGGAUAUGACUCCUCAUCGCAUGGUGGGGGGUGGAAAGCUUUUUUGUGGUUUUGGAUGGACUCGCGGCCUAUCAGCUUGUUGGUGAGGUAAUGGCUUAUCAAGGCGACGACGGGUAGCUGGUCUGAGAGGAUGGCCAGCCACAGUUGGGACUGAGACACGGCCCAGACCUCCGUACGGGAGG
This 234-nucleotide ribosomal RNA is filed under the name uncultured bacterium. Its description in RNAcentral is "partial 16S ribosomal RNA". It matches the Rfam family "Bacterial small subunit ribosomal RNA", at positions 118 to 347 of the family's 1533-position model. The record is from RNAcentral.